AGCCACCGCGCCCGGCCGUGUUUAAGCAAGUUUUAAAAAUACAUAAAUCCAUUGUGGCACAAUGUAAUAUGUAUCACCAUGCUACACCUGCGGACGCUUCCGAGCGGCUGCCAUGUCUGUGCAGUCAGGAAUGAUAAGUGAACCACCCGUGAAUGUUAACGAUAGUGAUCAUUCUGAGACCACAAGGCAAUAGCAUAUAACAGAAGGAAAGGCUUCAAGCUAAUGACACCCUUUAAUAAAGGUCUGGUCACUUGGGGUAUACUGUGGAUUUAUCAUCAAGAAGGUAAACUAAAACUCCCCACUCUUCUGAAAAGCCCAGUAAAGAGCAUGAAUGAACCUAGGGCACGCCUCUUUAAAAAAGCAGCUCAUCGUUCCCUUUCUGCAGAGCCAAGAGAAGCCAAGGUAGUCUCUGGGAGCCUGCCCAAGGCAGCCCAGCUUCUGGGCUAAGACCUUCCACUGUUACCUGACAGCUGUUACCCAAAGAGCUCUUGGUUAGAACUGUUCCUUCCUCAUGUUCCUCUAAUAUAUCAAAUAUUUAAAGGAAAAUACAUAUAUAUAUAGGAGACAGUUUAACUGCUCUGACUUCUAACCUAAGGAGAUUCUGACCAUUUUAUUGGCCUUGACUUUUUUUUUUUUCCUUUAAUGCCCUUCUUCCCCCACUCCAGAGUAGAAUCCUGGCAUGAAACUUUAAUGUCAACACAUAUAAGGUAAUAAUACUACCACAGUUGUUUUUGUCAUUGCCACUUUUGAACUCAAUUCAGUCUCACAAAUUCUGACUAAAUUAGGUCUGUGUUGGGAAUGGGAGAAGGAGACGAACAAGGCAGGUCCCUAUCCUUGAGAGGCACUUAGCCCACUCAAGAUCUCAUUCUCCCUUGUCCUACUUUGUCUAAAGGAACAGUAGGCUUUGGCUUGGUCACUGCUGGCAAGAAACACUUCUUGAGAUGCUGGGCACUAUCUGAGCUCCAGCUCUUUAUCUGGUUUUGGGGGUCAGCCAAAAACCUUCCCAUUCCUCCCACUCCCUACUUCUCCUCUCUGACACUACUGAUAUCCAAACAUCUUUACUGCUUAAGCUCAAAGUAGUCAGCAAGUUAGGGAUUCCCAUUUAUAGAUAUAUUUGCUCUGUCCAAAAUCAAUCAGGAACAAUGGAUAGCUUAGGAAUCCACUUGAAGAUUUGUUAAAAGAGGCAGUUUCCAUUACCAGGCUCCUAAUUUGCAAGUUGUUAGAAUAAUCCAUUCUCCUUCCCUGAACAACAACUCUAUCCAGGGGAUUCCUGGGGCCCAGGGGUUCUAGAGGGAAAGCUAGAUAGAUCUAGUCCUGAUUUAGUAAGAACAUCAGAAGACAUCCAAUUUCACGUUCCCUCCACAGAAUAAUUUUCCAAUGAGAAAUUCAUUAAUUAGUUCCCCUUUAAAAAAUGUAAAUAAUUAUAAAAUAUAAUUCACAACCUUUGCAUGAUGGAAUGAAGACAAAUUUAAAAAUUUCUUUUAUAUGCAGAAACAGAUCUAUUUCCCAAUUUUGCUAUAAUGGACACAUAUUAAUUAUAUAAUAAAAAAUAACUCAAAGGAAGGUUAAACCCCAUUCUCACCUUAGUGUAAAUUAUUCCCACUGAGAAUCCCUGACAGAAAUAACAAUAGCAACUAUGUAACACUUCCUACAUGCCAGAGUCUCAGCUAAUAUUAAUAAUCACAGCAGCAUUUCCUGAGGUUCAAGAGCCCCCAGGAAUCAACAGAUGAAUUUACAGACUAAGUUUCAGAAUUUAAAAACCUGUUUUCUAACGGUGAUGUGAGCCUCUAGUUCCAGCUACUCAGGAGGACUGUCUGAACCCAAGAGUUCCAGUCCAGCCUGGGCAGCAUAGUGAGACACUGUCUCUAAAAAUUUUUUUAAAUUAAAAACAAUUUUGAUUUUAGUCAAUGAAAAGCAUAUAGAGAUGUAUUAUCUAUACAUAUCAAUAUAUGUAUGAUAUGGAUGUGUAGCUAUAUAUAUCUAUAUGUGCUUUUCAUUGAACUAAAAGCAAAAUUAUAUGUGUCACCACAUAUUUUAUAUAUGUCACUGUGUGUGUGUGGGGGGGUGUAUGAGAUAAAGAUACAGAUAUAGGCCCCUCCUCACUCCUCAUCUUCCAUGUUCCCCAUUUUCCACCCACCUGGGGAGCCCUGAGCCACUGCCUAGAGGAGAAAUACCCAAGAGAGUCACCUGGCCUACAUCAGACAAAUGUGAACAAGAAAUAAAAUUAUUAGGCUGGGCGCGGUGGCUCAUGCCUGUAAUCCCAGGGGAGGAUUUGGGAGGUAGAGG
RNAcentral lists this long non-coding RNA (2286 nucleotides) under Homo sapiens (human). RNAcentral's name for it is "HSALNT0354868". The record is from RNAcentral. Lineage: Eukaryota; Metazoa; Chordata; Mammalia; Primates; Hominidae.